Non-coding RNA from Bombyx mori (domestic silkworm), 84 nucleotides. NCBI's taxonomy places the organism in Eukaryota, Metazoa, Arthropoda, Insecta, Lepidoptera, Bombycidae. The record is from Rfam.
UUAACUCAAAUUUGUAUGGAGUUGCAACCGUUACCUACGUUUGCCGCUAGGGGCGCUGUUCAAACUGCAUACAAAUUUGAAUUA